AUCUCUUUCCCAAUCCAAAAUUUAACUUUUCUCUUAAAUUAUUCCAAAUCCAUCUCUUAAAUCUUUUUCCCAAUCCAAACACGGAAAUGGAGGGAGUAGAAUGAUCAAAAGCAAUUGCGAGUAGAGUCAUGUUUCAGCACAAGCCCGGUCACUUCUGUAAGGGUCAUGGCAUCACUCGUGGUCAUCGUGGCUGGAGAAACAUUUAACUGCUCUCUGUUGUUUGCGCUGCCACUGGACAGCCUCUGCUACCUGUGCUGUCACUGGGCAACCUCUGUUCUCUGCAACUUCUUACUUGAGUGAGAGGUGUAGGUGGUGAUUGAUGGGAGAAAGGAGCUAUUUUUGCUUACUUUUUUUUAAGCUACUUUUUUCCUUGUUGAGAGGGGAUGACGACUGAGUAGCAAAUGUCCUAGGGUUUUCAGGUGAGAAUGAUUUUUUUUGCUGUUUUUUAUUAAUAGUGUAUUAUACUAUUAUAUAAUCUAUAAUAUUUAAAAACUAUAGAAAAUAUAGAAAUUUAUUAUAGAAUAGAGACAAUUAUAUAACAUUAAUACUGAUAAUACAUAAUUAUAUAUAAUCAGAAGAAUAUGAUAAAGUAGAAUUUUAAGGUAACAUAAAAUAUUAACAAAUAAUUAAUUCACGAAUAUUAAGUUGGUUAUUUUAGUUAAUUGAAAUAAACUUCUCUGUAUUUUAAAUAUUUUUCUUAUAAUACCUUUAAUAGUAUUGGGACUGUCUAUAUUAUUUUUUCCAUUUAAUUACUUUUCACCUAAAUAAUUAAUCAUAGAGAGAAUAGUGAUAAGAGUAGACUAUGAAUUUUCUCCAAAUCUUCGUAGGAGAGAAAUGGACAAUUGACAUUACUUAUUAUUUAUAGGCUAAAAUAAUUAAGGGUAUUUGGGUAAAAAAAUAAUUAAUGCAAUAGAAAGUUAGAAUAAAGCAUAUUAAAAGAGACAAUAGAAUUUCAAAACUAUGUAUUUUACUUAGGUAGGAGGGAUUAAUCAGAAGUAAAAACAUUUAUGUUUGACACAUCUUCUACCCCGAGUUCUGUGGCUGUACAAGCAAUUCCGAGUACAAAUCCAUUUGGAACACUUCCUACAAUGCCUCAGAUAUCAAUCGGUCGAGUUGGAACCACUCCUUCAAUGCAAUAUGGAAUCUCUAGCAUGCCUAUAAUUGCACUUUCUUGGUUUUAACUUUUUUAUUUUGUUGAUUUUUAUGCUAAUUUAAGGUUAAAUUAUUCAACUUUUUUACCAUAAACUGUGGUCAAGAAUUGAAGGUAACGAGUUCAAUGACACGUCAUUUCAGGCACUAGACAUUGUCUGCUGCUCCUGUUAGAAUAUCGACUUUAUUAACAUCUCGGCAUCUCUCACAAAGACGAAUAUGGCUUAUGAAAAGCUUAAUCAAUUGUGUGAUAUUUUUGUUUUGCAAGUUUUUGGAUGUCCAUGUUAGUAUAGUACUAUCAUUAUCAUUGCUCAUAGAAAAAAGUUUAAUGAAUGUGUUGGUGGUUUUUCUGGGUUUUCAACCUAACACUAAGUGUUAUUUUUUCUAAAUCUCAAAAAUCAUGAAAUUGAGUUCUCUCAAAACAUGUAAUUCCUUAUAAGUUGAAUGCUGAUAUCAUAAACUCAUGUUCUCACUCCAUUCUUCAAAACUAUAAUUUUGCAAAUUGAUUUUGUCACUGAAAAUUACAAUGAUGGUACUAUGGAUCUCGAUACUACCGAGGAAGAUCCUAUUGUUGGCAAUGUUGAUAUUGAAAACACUCACACUGAUGGCCUUGUUUAUACUGAAGACAUCCCUUCUACAGGUCUUAUUGGUAUGGCUAAUGAAGAGAUAUCACAACCAACUCCAACUCCUU
This 1840-nucleotide long non-coding RNA is filed under the name Phaseolus vulgaris (common bean). Its description in RNAcentral is "long non-coding RNA (PVUL_LNC002954)". Lineage: Eukaryota; Viridiplantae; Streptophyta; Magnoliopsida; Fabales; Fabaceae. The record is from RNAcentral.